RNAcentral lists this ribosomal RNA (447 nucleotides) under uncultured bacterium. RNAcentral describes it as "bacterial SSU rRNA". It matches the Rfam family "Bacterial small subunit ribosomal RNA", at positions 355 to 825 of the family's 1533-position model. The record is from RNAcentral.
UGGGGAAUCUUGGACAAUGGGCGCAAGCCUGAUCCAGCCAUGCCGCGUGGAUGAUGAAGUAUUUCGGUAUGUAAACUUCGAAAGAAUAGGAAGAAUAAAUGACGGUACUAUUUAUAAGGUCCGGCUAACUACGUGCCAGCAGCCGCGGUAAUACGUAGGGACCAAGCGUUGUUCGGAUUUACUGGGCGUAAAGGGCGCGUAGGCGGCAUGACAAGUCACUUGUGAAAUCUCUGGGCUUAACCCAGAACGGCCAAGUGAUACUGUCGCGCUAGAGUGCAGAAGGGGCAAUCGGAAUUCUUGGUGUAGCGGUGAAAUGCGUAGAUAUCAAGAGGAACACCUGAGGUGAAGACGGGUUGCUGGGCUGACACUGACGCUGAGGCGCGAAAGCCAGGGGAGCAAACGGGAUUAGAUACCCUCGUAGUCCCUGAGCGGGCUGGCAAGGCGCAU